CCUACGGGAGGCAGCAGUGAGGAAUAUUGGUCAAUGGGCGCAAGCCUGAACCAGCCAUGCCGCGUGCAGGAAGAAUGCCCUAUGGGUUGUAAACUGCUUUUAUUUAGGAAUAAACCUUUCUACGUGUAGAAAGCUGAAGGUACUGAAUGAAUAAGCACCGGCUAACUCCGUGCCAGCAGCCGCGGUAAUACGGAGGGUGCAAGCGUUAUCCGGAAUCAUUGGGUUUAAAGGGUCCGCAGGCGGGCGUAUAAGUCAGUGGUGAAAUCCUGCAGCUUAACUGCAGAACUGCCAUUGAUACUGUACGUCUUGAAUUCGGUUGAAGUGGGCGGAAUGUGUAGUGUAGCGGUGAAAUGCAUAGAUACUACACAGAACACCGAUAGCGAAGGCAGCUCACUAGGCCUGGAUUGACGCUCAGGGACGAAAGCGUGGGGAUCAAACAGGAUUAGAUACCCUGGUAGUCCACGCUGUAAACGAUGAUUACUCGUUUUCGGCGAUAUACUGUCGGAGACUAAGCGAAAGUGAUAAGUAAUCCACCUGGGGAGUACGAUCGCAAGGUUGAAACUCAAAGGAAUUAGAGG
RNAcentral lists this ribosomal RNA (578 nucleotides) under uncultured bacterium. RNAcentral's name for it is "bacterial SSU rRNA". It matches the Rfam family "Bacterial small subunit ribosomal RNA", at positions 338 to 916 of the family's 1533-position model. The record is from RNAcentral.